AACGAUGGGUGCUAGUUGUCAGGCAGCAUGCUGUUUGGUGACGCAGCUAACGCGUUAAGCACCCCGCCUGGGGACUACGGUCGCAAGACUAAAACUCAAAGGAAUUGACGGGGGCCCGCACAAGCGGUGGAGCAUGUGGUUUAAUUCGAGGCAACGCGAAGAACCUUACCGGCCCUUGACAUACCAAUCGCGGAUAGCAGAGAUGCUUUCCUUCAGUUCGGCUGGAUUGGAUACAGGUGCUGCAUGGUUGUCGUCAGCUCGUGUCGUGAGAUGUUGGGUUAAGUCCCGCAACGAGCGCAACCCUCGCCUUUAGUUGCCAGCAUUAAGUUGGGCACUCUAGAGGGACUGCCGGUGAUAAGCCGGAGGAAGGUGGGGAUGACGUCAAAUCAUCAUGGCCCUUACGGGCCGGGCUACACACGUGCUACAAUGGCGGUGACAGUGAGCAGCCACUCAGCGAUGAGGAGCUAAUCUCUAAAAGCCGUCUCAGUUCGGAUUGUUCUCUGCAACUCGAGAGCAUGAAGUUGGAAUCGCUAGUAAUCGUGGAUCAGCAUGCCACGGUGAAUACGUUCCCGGGCCUUGUACACACCGCCCGUCACACCAUGGGAGUUGGUUUUACCCGAAGACUGUGUGCUAACUUUUAGAGGCAGCAGGCCACGGUAAGGUCAGCGACUGGGGUGAAGUCGUAACAAGGUAACCGUA
RNAcentral lists this ribosomal RNA (699 nucleotides) under uncultured bacterium. RNAcentral's name for it is "bacterial SSU rRNA". It matches the Rfam family "Bacterial small subunit ribosomal RNA", at positions 805 to 1504 of the family's 1533-position model. The record is from RNAcentral.